Molecule: small nucleolar RNA, 84 nt
Filed under: Glycine soja
Lineage: Eukaryota; Viridiplantae; Streptophyta; Magnoliopsida; Fabales; Fabaceae
Description: snoRNA LOC114382840
Rfam family: Small nucleolar RNA SNORD25
About the family: U25 is a member of the C/D class of snoRNA which contain the C (UGAUGA) and D (CUGA) box motifs. U25 is found in gene clusters in plants, and within the U22 snoRNA host gene (UHG) in mammals.
Source: Rfam by way of RNAcentral
UUCAACUGUGAUGAGCCUGCAGACCUGUAAUGAUUUGCAGGUAUGAUCACAAUCAUUAAUGAACAUCUAAGGGACUGAAUUAUU